GCGGGAAUAGCUCAGUUGGUAGAGCACGACCUUGCCAAGGUCGGGGUCGCGAGUUCGAGCCUCGUUUCCCGCUCC
Molecule: transfer RNA, 75 nt
Filed under: uncultured Aggregatibacter sp.
Lineage: Bacteria; Pseudomonadati; Pseudomonadota; Gammaproteobacteria; Pasteurellales; Pasteurellaceae
Description: tRNA-Gly(gcc)
Rfam family: tRNA
About the family: Transfer RNA (tRNA) molecules are approximately 80 nucleotides in length. Their secondary structure includes four short double-helical elements and three loops (D, anti-codon, and T loops).
Source: RNAcentral